Molecule: ribosomal RNA, 522 nt
Filed under: uncultured bacterium
Lineage: Bacteria
Description: bacterial SSU rRNA
Rfam family: Bacterial small subunit ribosomal RNA
Source: RNAcentral
UGGGGAAUCUUGCACAAUGGGCGAAAGCCUGAUGCAGCAACGCCGCGUGCGGGAAGACAGCCCUAGGGUUGUAAACCGCUUUCAGCAGGGAAGAAACUGACGGUACCUGCAGAAGAAGAUGCGGCCAACUACGUGCCAGCAGCCGCGGUGACACGUAGGCAUCAAGCGUUAUCCGGAUUUAUUGGGCGUAAAGAGCUCGUAGGCGGUUCGGUAAGUCGGGUGUGAAAACUCUGGGCUCAACCCAGAGAGGCCACUCGAUACUGCUGUGACUAGAGUGCGGUAGGGGAGCGGGGAAUUCCUGGUGUAGCGGUGAAAUGCGCAGAUAUCAGGAGGAACACCAGUGGCGAAGGCGCCGCUCUGGGCCGUAACUGACGCUGAGGAGCGAAAGCAUGGGUAGCAAACAGGAUUAGAUACCCUGGUAGUCCAUGCCGUAAACGUUGGGCACUAGGUGUGGGUCUCAACCGAACGAGAUCCGCGCCGUCGCUAACGCAUUAAGUGCCCGCCUGGGAGUACGGUCGCAAG